Homo sapiens (human) is the source of this 408-nucleotide long non-coding RNA. RefSeq lists it as uncharacterized. The transcript is spliced from 2 exons. The record is from RefSeq and is a predicted model, not a curated record. Lineage: Eukaryota; Metazoa; Chordata; Mammalia; Primates; Hominidae.
GUAUGCAGCCCGGCCAAGCCCCAGAGACUGCAGCUCAGGAUCACACCACCAUCUGCAAAGCCAGGCCACAGCUGCCAAAGAGAUCUCUUUCCUCCCCGUCAUUCUGCUGAUGGUCAUUUUGUCCUUGGCUACAACGUCCCACUGGGCCCGAGACACUGCAAGGAUUUUAUGAGAUUUCUUUGCUUCAAGCUAGGGGAAGGCAAACAGAAGAGAAUUCAGCAACUGCCACUUUGAAACAAUUUUGGGGCAAGACAUGAAGAUUCACAAAAUGCAGUUUCUAGAAGCGGCUGGAAUGUAAGCUGCAAGGAAGGGAGCAGAAACGUCAUCUGUCUCACCAUGGCUGUCUCCCUACCAUCCAGAGUGGUAUCUCACACAGAAAAUGCAAUCAAUAAAUAUCUGUUAAAUGGC